Long non-coding RNA from Juglans microcarpa x Juglans regia, 271 nucleotides. RefSeq lists it as uncharacterized. The transcript is spliced from 2 exons. Lineage: Eukaryota; Viridiplantae; Streptophyta; Magnoliopsida; Fagales; Juglandaceae. The record is from RefSeq and is a predicted model, not a curated record.
UAAUGCCUAGAAAAAAUAAUUUUUGUUUUACAUGUUUUCUAAAACUGUUCUAACUUCUAAUCUGGGGUGUGUAUUGAAGUAACAUAACACCCAAUUCUUUAUCCAAACCAUAUUUAAGCUGAAAAAAAAUGAGAUUCAAAUCCUUCCCUGCAGUUACUUCUUCUAUCCAAGUGAACAACCAAUAUUCAUUUCGUCAAAAUGUAAUAGCGUUCGAUACGGGGUGACCACGCAAUACAUUCAAGGAAUGAGUUUGAUAGAAACGACCUGAAAG